GCCACAGUAGUGUAGCGGUUAGCACACCUGUCCCUGAAACAGGGAACUGGGGUUCGACUCCUCCCUGUGUCU
Molecule: non-coding RNA, 72 nt
Organism: Albula goreensis
Lineage: Eukaryota; Metazoa; Chordata; Actinopteri; Albuliformes; Albulidae
Source: the annotation of a GenBank genome assembly